RNAcentral lists this ribosomal RNA (260 nucleotides) under uncultured bacterium. RNAcentral's name for it is "partial small subunit ribosomal RNA". It matches the Rfam family "Bacterial small subunit ribosomal RNA", at positions 26 to 285 of the family's 1533-position model. The record is from RNAcentral.
AGGACGAACGCUGGCGGCGUGCUUAACACAUGCAAGUCGAGCGAGGCCCCUUCCUUCGGGAGGGGAGCCCUAGCGGCGAACGGGUGAGUAACACGUGGGCAAUCUGCCCCUAGCACUGGGAUAACUCCGGGAAACCGGGGCUAAUACUGGAUAUGACCGAUCCAUGCAUGUGGGUUGGUGGAAAGUUUUUCGGCUAGGGAUGGGCCCGCGGCCUAUCAGCUUGUUGGUGGGGUGAUGGCCUACCAAGGCGACGACGGGUA